AGCCCAACAGCUAGCUCAACCCCAUAAAUUCAACAAUAAACUAUAAAUAAACCAUAAGUGUCCUACACCUUAUCAAACAAAACAUUUUUCCCCCUUAGUAUGGGCGACAGAAAAGGACAAGACGAAGCGAUAGCAUUAGUACCGCAAGGGAAUGCUGAAAGAAAGAUGAAAAAGACUAGUAAAGCACAAUAAAGCAGAGCUUACCCCUCGUACCUUUUGCAUCAUGAUUUAGUAAGAACCCAUCAGGCAAAAAGAAUUGUAGUCUGACACCCCGAAACCAAGUGAGCUACUCCAGGACAGCCUUAUAGGGCACACCCGUCUCUGUGGCAAAAGAGUGGGAAGAUCCUUGAGUAGAGGUGACAGACCUACCGAACUAGGUUAUAGCUGGUUGCUCAGGAAAAGAAUAGAAGUUCAGCCUUUUAGCCUCUUCGCCCACCAAUCGAUCUCGCCACAAGCGACCCAAGAGAGCUAAAAGAGUAAGUCAAAGGGGGUACAGCCCCUUUGAAAACAGACACAACUUUCCCAGAAGGGUUAAGAUCACACUAUACCAGGCAACAGUGUUCUAGUUGGCCUAAAAGCAGCCACCCACACAGAAAGCGUUAAAGCUCAUACACAGCCCACCCCUCUUAUCCGGACCACAAAGUCUUACCCCCCUAAACAUACUGAGCCUUCCCACCACCCGUGGGAGAGAUAAUGCUAAUAUGAGUAAUAAGAGAAGAGGACUCUCUCCUUGCACAAGCGUAAAUCGGAACGAACUAACACCGACCAUUAACGGCCCCAUAAAAUGAGGGAACUGAGACGAAUGACUACCCCACUAGAAAAACCCCCACACCCAAACCGUUAAUCUUACACCAGCGUGCUGACCAGGAAAGACUAAAAGAAAAAGAAGGAACUCGGCA
This 899-nucleotide ribosomal RNA is filed under the name Fowleria vaiulae (mottled cardinalfish). Its description in RNAcentral is "partial 16S ribosomal RNA". The stretch from base 197 to 701 matches the Rfam family "Bacterial large subunit ribosomal RNA", at positions 573 to 1301 of the family's 2925-position model. Lineage: Eukaryota; Metazoa; Chordata; Actinopteri; Kurtiformes; Apogonidae. The record is from RNAcentral.